Molecule: ribosomal RNA, 384 nt
Filed under: uncultured bacterium
Lineage: Bacteria
Description: bacterial SSU rRNA
Rfam family: Bacterial small subunit ribosomal RNA
Source: RNAcentral
UGAGUAACGCGUGAGUAACCUGCCUCUAAGAGGGGAAUAACAUUCUGAAAAGAAUGCUAAUACCGCAUAAUAUAUAUUUAUCGCAUGGUAGAUAUAUCAAAGAUUUAUCGCUUAGAGAUGGACUCGCGUCUGAUUAGAUAGUUGGUGAGGUAACGGCCCACCAAGUCAACGAUCAGUAGCCGGCCUGAGAGGGCGAACGGCCACAUUGGGACUGAGACACGGUCCAAACUCCUACGGGAGGCAGCAGUGGGGAAUAUUGCACAAUGGGGAAACCCUGAUGCAGCAACGCCGCGUGAAGGAAGAAGGCCUUUGGGUCGUAAACUUCUGUUCUGAGGGAAGAAGAAAGUGACGGUACCUCAGGAGAAAGCCCCGGCUAACUACGUG